UAAGUGGGUGGACUCAGUGGCAUGUGUAGAAUAAUUCUUGAGUACCAGCUCUUUUUGACAUUGGUUUUUGGUCAUGACACAUGGCGGUGCAGAGCCCCAUGUGAUGACUAUGUUACUCCAUUUAUUCCUCACAGCCACACUGGAAGGCCAGAGGUAUUAUUCCCAUCUUGUACAGGAGGAAAACAGAGUCCCUGAGAGAUGAAAUUUCUUGUUUUGCUGAACCAUGAAAGAAGCUGCGGGUUGGAGAUGAAUGAGCUUUUGUUUCUGCAAAGCUGAAUUUUUAUUUCUUAGCUGAUAUAUUUGGAGCCAGAACUCUUCCAUGUUAAAGACUCUAACUGAAGCCUAGAGAAGUUAAGGAAGACACUCUUCUUCUGACCAGCUUUCUAAAAACUUGAAUUCCUAGAGCUGAGCACAGCAACUUGAAGAAACUUGGUUGGAGGAAGAGUUGUUUUUCAAUUGCAUAAAUUUUAAAGAAUUCUUCUCUGCUCUGGAUUUGGACACUGGCUGGUAAGUGAGUUAGAGGCUGUGAUUCUGUGUUUGAAAAGGAAUGUUGCAAAGAACUAGUUCUGGAUGGAUGCAGACGUGUGCUUUAGAAUUCUUUGGCCAGCAAGACUUCUUGGUGGGAUCUCCUGAUUGGGGGUUCCCAGAGGGCAGGCAGGAUGGUGUUACACUGGUUGCAGGGGAUCAUUCAAAGUGGCAUUUGGCUCUGAAUUCA
Molecule: long non-coding RNA, 715 nt
Organism: Ailuropoda melanoleuca (giant panda)
Lineage: Eukaryota; Metazoa; Chordata; Mammalia; Carnivora; Ursidae
Exons: 3
Source: RefSeq, a predicted model, not a curated record